AACGAACGCUGGCGGCAUGCCUAACACAUGCAAGUCGAACGAGACCUUCGGGUCUAGUGGCGCACGGGUGCGUAACGCGUGGGAAUCUGCCCUUGGGUUCGGAAUAACAGUUAGAAAUGACUGCUAAUACCGGAUGAUGACGUAAGUCCAAAGAUUUAUCGCCCAAGGAUGAGCCCGCGUAGGAUUAGCUUGUUGGUGAGGUAAAGGCUCACCAAGGCGACGAUCCUUAGCUGGUCUGAGAGGAUGAUCAGCCACACUGGGACUGAGACACGGCCCAGACUCCUACGGGAGGCAGCAGUGGGGAAUAUUGGACAAUGGGCGAAAGCCUGAUCCAGCAAUGCCGCGUGAGUGAUGAAGGCCCUAGGGUUGUAAAGCUCUUUUACCCGGGAUGAUAAUGACAGUACCGGGAGAAUAAGCCCCGGCUAACUCCGUGCCAGCAGCCGCGGUU
Molecule: ribosomal RNA, 448 nt
Filed under: uncultured bacterium
Lineage: Bacteria
Description: bacterial SSU rRNA
Rfam family: Bacterial small subunit ribosomal RNA
Source: RNAcentral